GAUGAACGCUAGCUACAGGCUUAACACAUGCAAGUCGAGGGGCAUCAGGAAGAGAGCUUGCUUUCUUUGCUGGCGACCGGCGCACGGGUGAGUAACACGUAUCCAACCUGCCCUUUACUCGGGGAUAGCCUUUCGAAAGAAAGAUUAAUACCCGAUAGCAUAAUGAUUCCGCAUGGUUUCAUUAUUAAAGGAUUCCGGUAAAGGAUGGGGAUGCGUUCCAUUAGGUUGUUGGUGAGGUAACGGCUCACCAAGCCUUCGAUGGAUAGGGGUUCUGAGAGGAAGGUCCCCCACAUUGGAACUGAGACACGGUCCAAACUCCUACGGGAGGCAGCAGUGAGGAAUAUUGGUCAAUGGGCGGUAGCCUGAACCAGCCAAGUAGCGUGAAGGAUGAAGGCUCUAUGGGUCGUAAACUUCUUUUAUAUAAGAAUAAAGUGCAGUAUGUAUACUGUUUUGUAUGUAUUAUAUGAAUAAGGAUCGGCUAACUCCGUGCCAGCAGCCGCGGUAAUACGGAGGAUCCGAGCGUUAUCCGGAUUUAUUGGGUUUAAAGGGAGCGUAGGUGGACUGGUAAGUCAGUUGUGAAAGUUUGCGGCUCAACCGUAAAAUUGCAGUUGAUACUGUCAGUCUUGAGUACAGUAGAGGUGGGCGGAAUUCGUGGUGUAGCGGUGAAAUGCUUAGAUAUCACGAAGAACUCCGAUUGCGAAGGCAGCUCACUGGACUGCAACUGACACUGAUGCUCGAAAGUGUGGGUAUCAAACAGG
This 758-nucleotide ribosomal RNA is filed under the name Bacteroides fragilis. RNAcentral's name for it is "bacterial SSU rRNA". It matches the Rfam family "Bacterial small subunit ribosomal RNA", at positions 28 to 776 of the family's 1533-position model. Lineage: Bacteria; Pseudomonadati; Bacteroidota; Bacteroidia; Bacteroidales; Bacteroidaceae. The record is from RNAcentral.